CCUACGGGAGGCAGCAGUGGGGAAUAUUGGUCAAUGGACGCAAGUCUGACCCAGCAACGCCGCGUGAAGGAAGACGGCUUUCGGGUUGUAAACUUCUUUUUAGGAAGGAGAGCAGAAGACGGUACCCCUUUAAUAAGCCACGUCUAACUACGUGCCAGCAGCCGCGGUCAUACGUAGGUGGCAAGCGUUGUCCGGAUUUACUGGGUGUAACGGGCGUGCAGCUGGAGAGACAAGUCAGAUGUGAAAUCCACGGGCUCAACCCGUGAACUGCAUUUGAAACUGUUUCCCUUGAGUGUCGGAGAGGUAAUCGGAAUUCCUGGUGUAGCGGUGAAAUGCGUAGAUAUAAGGAAGAACACCAGUGGCGAAGGCGGAUUACUGGACGAUAACUGACGGUGAGGCGCGAAAGCGUGGGGAGCAAACAGGAUUAGAUACCCGGGUAGUC
This 442-nucleotide ribosomal RNA is filed under the name uncultured bacterium. RNAcentral's name for it is "partial 16S ribosomal RNA". It matches the Rfam family "Bacterial small subunit ribosomal RNA", at positions 338 to 795 of the family's 1533-position model. The record is from RNAcentral.